Molecule: ribosomal RNA, 446 nt
Filed under: uncultured bacterium
Lineage: Bacteria
Description: partial 16S ribosomal RNA
Rfam family: Bacterial small subunit ribosomal RNA
Source: RNAcentral
CCUACGGGGCGCUGCAGUCGAGAAUCAUUCACAAUGGGGGAAACCCUGAUGGUGCGACGCCGCGUGGGGGAAUGAAGGUCUUCGGAUUGUAAACCCCUGUCAUGUGGGAGCAAAUUAAAAAGAUAGUACCACAAGAGGAAGAGACGGCUAACUCUGUGCCAGCAGCCGCGGUAAUACAGAGGUCUCAAGCGUUGUUCGGAAUCACUGGGCGUAAAGCGUGCGUAGGCUGUUUCGUAAGUCGUGUGUGAAAGGCGCGGGCUCAACCCGCGGACGGCACAUGAUACUGCGAGACUAGAGUAAGGGAGGGGGAACCGGAAUUCUCGGUGUAGCAGUGAAAUGCGUAGAUAUCGAGAGGAACACUCGUGGCGAAGGCGGGUUCCUGGACAUUAACUGACGCUGAGGCACGAAGGCCAGGGGAGCGAAAGGGAUUAGAUACCCCUGUAGUC